Molecule: small RNA, 109 nt
Filed under: Flavobacterium frigidimaris
Lineage: Bacteria; Pseudomonadati; Bacteroidota; Flavobacteriia; Flavobacteriales; Flavobacteriaceae
Description: Flavo-1 RNA
Rfam family: Flavo-1 RNA
Source: RNAcentral
CGUAAACCGCGUUAGGGAUGGCAGCGGUAUCCUUUUGCGGAAAAAUAAAUUUCUGCGGAGUAAACCAAAACUGUUUCCGCAAAAGAUUUAGCGGACAGCCCGGCCCGCA